GCCACCGUAGCUUAGCCCGGCAGAGCGGCUGAUUCGUAUUAUCAGCAGGUCGGGGGUUCGAAUCCCCCCGGUGGCU
Molecule: transfer RNA, 76 nt
Filed under: Candidatus Aciduliprofundum sp. MAR08-339
Lineage: Archaea; Methanobacteriati; Thermoplasmatota
Description: Aciduliprofundum sp. MAR08-339 tRNA-Thr
Rfam family: tRNA
About the family: Transfer RNA (tRNA) molecules are approximately 80 nucleotides in length.
Source: RNAcentral